GAUGAAGAACGUAGCGAAAUGCGAUAAGUAAUGUGAAUUGCAGAAUUCAGUGAAUCAUCGAAUCUUUGAACGCACCUUGCGCCCUUUGGCUAUUCCGAAGGGCAUGCCUGUUUGAGUAUCAUGAACACCUCAACUCUCAUGGCUUGCCAUGAUGAGCUUGGACUUUUGGGGGUCUUGCUGGCCUGUGGUCAGCUCCUCUCAAAUGAAUUAGCCUGCCAGUGUUUGGUGGCAUCACAGGUGUGAUAACUAUCUACGCUUGUGGUUUUCCACCAGGUAACCUUCAGUGAUGAAGGUUCGCUGGGGCUCAUAAACGUCUCUCCUCAGUGAGGACAGCUCUUAGAACGUUUGAUCUCAAAUCAGGUAGGACUACCCGCUGAACUUAAGCAUAUCAAUAAGCGGAGGA
RNAcentral lists this unclassified non-coding RNA (403 nucleotides) under soil metagenome. RNAcentral's name for it is "partial contains 5.8S ribosomal RNA, internal transcribed spacer 2, and large subunit ribosomal RNA". The stretch from base 1 to 121 matches the Rfam family "5.8S ribosomal RNA", at positions 35 to 154 of the family's 154-position model. The record is from RNAcentral.